This 462-nucleotide ribosomal RNA is filed under the name uncultured bacterium. RNAcentral describes it as "partial 16S ribosomal RNA". It matches the Rfam family "Bacterial small subunit ribosomal RNA", at positions 28 to 507 of the family's 1533-position model. The record is from RNAcentral.
GACGAACGCUGGCGGCGUGCUUAACACAUGCAAGUCGAGCGGAAAGGCCCUUCGGGGUCCUCGAGCGGCGAACGGGUGAGUAACACGUGAGUAACCUGCCCCAGACUUUGGGAUAACCCUCGGAAACGGGGGCUAAUACCGGAUACGACACAGCUUCGCAUGGGGUCUGUGUGGAAAGUUUUUUGGUUUGGGAUGGGCUCGCGGCCUAUCAGCUUGUUGGUGGGGUGAUGGCCUACCAAGGCGACGACGGGUAGCCGGCCUGAGAGGGCGACCGGCCACACUGGGACUGAGACACGGCCCAGACUCCUACGGGAGGCAGCAGUGGGGAAUAUUGCACAAUGGGCGGAAGCCUGAUGCAGCGACGCCGCGUGAGGGAUGACGGCCUUCGGGUUGUAAACCUCUUUCAGCAGGGACGAAGCGUAAGUGACGGUACCUGCAGAAGAAGCGCCGGCCAACUACGUG